CAAAUGGAUGGGUGAAAGUGAGAAGCUAGUUUCAAAUCUUUUCCAAAUGGCUCGUGAUAAUGCUCCUUCCAUCAUUUUCAUUGAUGAAAUUGAUUCAUUAUGUGGUAAACGGGGUGAAGGCAACGAGAGUGAAGCAUCUCGGCGCAUCAAAACAGAACUUUUAGUGCAAAUGCAGGGUAUAGGGAAUGAUGAUCAUAAAGUUCUUGUUCUUGCAGCCACAAAUACACCCUAUGCUCUGGAUCAGGCCAUUCGGAGGCGUUUUGACAAGAGAAUAUACAUUCCGCUCCCAGAUUUGAAGGCAAGGAAACACAUUUUUAAGGUGCAUCUUGGAGAUACUCCGCACAAUUUGACCGAAAGUGAUUUUGAGCACUUGGCUCAGAAAACAGAAAGCUUUUCAGGUUCAGAUAUUUCCAUCUGUGUUAAAGAUGUACUUUUUGAGCCUGUUCGUAAAACCAGAG
RNAcentral lists this unclassified non-coding RNA (458 nucleotides) under Hevea brasiliensis (rubber tree). Lineage: Eukaryota; Viridiplantae; Streptophyta; Magnoliopsida; Malpighiales; Euphorbiaceae. The record is from RNAcentral.